UGCCCGUGUGGGGGCUCGCGGCUGAGUAGCAUGGUGAGUGUACGGGCAGCGAGUGGGCUGGGAGCCGCGUUUACGCCGGUUAUGCGAGGGUGCGGGCGCGGGCGGUGGGGCUGUGGCGGGGCAGCCAUCGGGUAGGUACAGCCGCUGGUACGUGGGAGCAGCAGGUUGCUGGUAUGGCCGGGUAUUUAGUAGCGCGUGGACUGUGUGGGUGUGUGGGCCGGUGAUUAGUGCGCGGGCUGGCAUUUGCCUGAUUGGGGACCUCCAGGUCCCCGUCCAUCGCGUGGUCCCUAGGGUUUUGCAUUGUUGAGCGAGUGGGGCGAACUCCCUCGCGGCACUCAUGUAGAAAGCUAGGUCCUUUGUGGGGUCGGAGGGAUCAUGAACCGUAGAGCCGGGUAGGGCGUCGUCAUUGGCUACGACCUCGGGGUUGCUUGUGCGUGUGUCGUGUUUGAUGAAGUGAGAAUGACGUUGCUUUGCCGUUUGCUUCGGUUUUGCCUGCAGGACUUCUAGGGAAGGCUUUGGUGGAGCCGCGGGGCUCGGUAGUGCCUCUUGCCAGCGGGCCAGGAGGGAGGUGAGAGUUCGUUGGGGUAUGGGUUUAGGUAGGUCUCCAGCUGAAUUGAGGUCGGCCUUGGAGACGCCGGCGGGCAGGGUGCGGCUUUGCAUGGGGAGGGGUUUGUGGCCCAUAGAUUUGGGGGGUGCUUCUGCCGGUUUACAUAGGGCGAUGGUAAAUCGGUUUAAGGCCCUCUUGUGCUUGUCUUUCACCCUGCCUUUUGGGAACCGCCGGUCAAGCUGCGUGGUGUCAAUAACGUGCCGCCCUGUGUUUGCGUCCACCAGGUCCGCCAGGUUCAGUCCAAGGUCGAUGGUCAAGGGGCUGAUCCAGUCGGCGCGAAGGUAGGCGGGCGUGGUGGCUUCAGCGGCCCGUAGUUUAGAGACAAGGGCUGGUAGGGCGGCAGUGAAUUCUUUGCCUUGCAGCAUGGCAAGUAGGUCGUGGUCCUGUAGAAGUGUGAGUUGUUUAAGGGUGACAAAAAAUUGACCCGCCCUUUUCAUGUCGUGCAGUGGGAGGUCACUUCCUGCGUGCGCGGCCUGUAGGUGGAGCAGGCGGCGUGUCACGACACCAAGCCGGCCGGUGUCGUUGAGCGAGAUUACGAGUAGCCUCGAGGCUCUCUGCACGUAUUCUUCCCGGAGCGAGCCGAUCCCGAGGCCGCCUAGCUCGGCGGGUAGUAGGAUGGCGCGGGUGGCGCAAUCGCGUGGUAGACCGACGCAUCUUCGAGCGAUGCCUGCGAUUUGGGCGUCCAAGGCCCGAAUGUCUGGCUGCGUGUAGGCCAUGGUUGGUAAGGAGUAGGCCACUUUGGCUUUCAGGCACUGUUUGAUGAGCAUGUAGCAUUGGCGUGGGAGUUUUCGGUACCUGCUCAGCUCCUCGCCGGCGUCGGUUAGGUCGGCUUUGACCGCUUUCAGUUGAGGGCGCCAGUCUAGUGUCAUAGUGAUUUCAACACCGAGGUAUCGGUAGGGCUUGUGCGGGGGAAUGUAAGGGAGGGUGAUGGCGGAUCGCUUGCCGUCUUUGGUGCAUGUGCCGACAUGGAUAUGGCCCGCGAGGAGGCGUUUGAGAGUGCGGUCACAGGCGGGGCCCUUAAUGCUCUUGUCCGUACUGUUGGCGCUUGCAUAGUGGUGUAGUAUGCCAGUGCACGCGCUCUUGUCGCGGUUGAUGCGCAUGCCGCCCCAGGCAGCGUACCGGGCGAUCUUGUCAGUUUGGCACCUAAGGUUGUCUCGGGAGUUGGCAGCUACAGUCAGGUCGUCCGCGUAGCCUAGGGACGAGCAGUUAUGUUCGUCGUUUUCGCUGUUGGUGAGACAGCCGUACCGGUAGCCUCGUCCCCCGUAGUGGAGCCACCGCAGCAGCGGUUCAAGGAAGAUAAUGAACAGUAGGGGCGAUAGGGUGUCGCCCUGCAUAGUGCCGCGCCGUAUGUGAACAGGGUUGGUGCGGCCGUGUGUUGUGCGGAUUGUGGUGUUUGCGGAGGAGUACAGAUUGCGUACGACUUCAAUAAAGUCGGUUGGUAGGCCCAGGUGGUGCAUUAUUGUAAGCAAACGGUCGUGGUCAAUGGUACCGAAGGCGUUCGAGAAAUCAAUGUAUGCGACAUAUAGGUCUCGUUUUGUUAAGGCUGCGUCUUCUAUUACAUGCAGUAGGUUCAUGAUUUGGCGUUCUGUUCCCUUGUGCUUCUGAAAGCCCUCUUGUGCUUCGCUGUGGAUGAGAAGAUCUGUGCACGCUUCAGUUGCCGCCCGGGUGACUAAGCUGGUAUACAGCUUGUACAGUGUGUUGCACAGCGCAAUAGGCCUGUAGUUAGAGAUGGAGAGCGGGUCUGCCUUUUUGUACAGGAGAAUGGUGUCGCUUGUGGACCAGCCGGCCGGGAGUUCGGCCUUAAUCCACGCGACGCACAUGAGGGUAUGGACAGCGGAUAGUAACGCCUCUGGCAUGCACUUCAGUAGCUCGUUCGGGAUGCCGUCCGGGCCGGGGCUUUUAUUGCGGGAGAGGGCCUGCAUGCACCUCUGGAAGUUGCUGGAGUCGGCGACGUUGGGCAGCAGGGACUGAGCGUCUGGGUGUGCUGUGCGGGCCAGUAGGAAGCCGCCGUCGGGCGCUCCGGGUUCGUUCCACGGGAAAGUUGCGUCCUUGUCCUCGGGUCUGUAGCGGCCGGUGCGCUGGCCUCCGGUAGGUUCCGCGGCUGCCUGGAAGUGGGCGUGGAGCGCGUCGUUGAUGUCGGAACUGGUUGUGGCUAUGUGUUGGGUUGCGGGGUGCCGCACAGCCGUGAGGUUUUGCCGGGGCCCUGAUUUUCCGAGCAUAAUUUUGGCUGCCUUGCUUUGUGAGGUUGCAAAGAGUUUGGACAUCUUAGUCAGCCAUUUGCUAGCGGCCUUGGCGCUGGCUUCUUUCUGUGUGGUGCGGCGUGUUUUGAGUGCGUCUUGCCACUCCUGCCGGGCGGCAGUGGCG
Molecule: long non-coding RNA, 2971 nt
Filed under: Chlamydomonas reinhardtii
Lineage: Eukaryota; Viridiplantae; Chlorophyta; Chlorophyceae; Chlamydomonadales; Chlamydomonadaceae
Description: long non-coding RNA (CREI_LNC000710)
Source: RNAcentral